Triticum dicoccoides is the source of this 1272-nucleotide long non-coding RNA. RefSeq lists it as uncharacterized. Lineage: Eukaryota; Viridiplantae; Streptophyta; Magnoliopsida; Poales; Poaceae. The transcript is spliced from 6 exons. The record is from RefSeq and is a predicted model, not a curated record.
AUAUCUCCUCAUUUUCUCUCCUGCACGUCUCGAGAGAGAGCCGCCGCCGCCAACCAUCCUCCCCGUCCGCCGCUGCCGCCAACCAUCUGCAGCCGCACCAUCAUCCCCUCCCUGUUUCUCUCCUGUGGCUGAGCCAGCCAUGGCAAGGAAGAAGCACAAGUCCUCUUCCUUCCUCACUCACCCCCGAUAUGAAUCCUCAGCCAGCCGCACGCAUCCCAUAUGGUGCCGCCCAGCUCGCCGCCCUCGGCCGCCGAGCCAUCGCGGGGCUCCUCGCGCAAGCGCACGACCUCCUCCAAGGUCGCGCCCGAGGCCGACCUGGAGUUCACGGUCACCAAAGAAAGGUAAGGUAAGGGGAGGGGAGGGGAGGAGAGGGAUCGAGCAACAAGGUGAGGCAGCGCCCAGAUCCACAGGUCCACGACCGUCCUCGAGGUCGGCCAUGGAGGUCCGGUCCGGCCCGACAGCAGCCAUGGAAGGAGACACCCGAAUCCGUAGCUCUCCAAGGACGCGCUAGCUGCAGGCCAUCUCCGGCGAGCUCGUCCACGGAUCUCCAACUAUGGUGCGUGCACAUGAUCCCUGAACCCCUUGUCUGGCCGGUUUCUUCAUCUCCCCUCCUUGUGAUUCCUUGGUUUGUUCUGUGUGAAGUUGCUCCGAUCUGGAAGAGGUGGUGGAGUUGUUGUUGUUGCUGCUACAGGUGGACGAGGCACGAGCCCUCAUGGCUCCUCCCUCCUCCUCCCCCCAUGACGUGAAGGCAUGACACCGCCAUCAUGCGUCAGGUUUAGGUAGAGGGCACGUCACCGCCACGCUCUCCUCCACAACAACGCCACGCACCCGGUUGCUCCGAUGAGGACAAGCUGCUUCUGCAGGUGGAAUGGCCCUCAUGGCUGCUCUACCUAUUCCUUCUGCUACCCCCACACGUGCGAACAUCAAAGCCGUCGAUGCACUAAGGGCUCAAUGUCGUGUCCGCCGGCUGAGCGGCAAGCUGGGGUUGGGCCUGCACACUGCCUAUCAGCACCCCCCAUCUCCAUUCACGGAUCUGCAGGUUAUAUGGUUCAAUAGCCACCGACCAUAGAAGCGCGGGUCAUGGCUCACGCCACUGUUUCGUCAGGGUCACCAUCGCGUGGCCGUCGUCCUCGCGCUGUGAGCGCGCUCAGGUGUUUACUACGCAGGGAGGAGCUGGGCGACAAGGCAGUCAGACCAAACUUUCUCUAUCCAUAUAUAUGUAGUCUGAUGUUAUGCCAUAGCCGAACCAUAUAAGUUUCGUGUAUUGCUCUA